AGAAGGAGUUUCAAUUCCUCUGUGGCAACCUCAGUCUGGAGCAAUGCAAUUUGGUCUGCCCCUGUACCGGCUUCAACUGCAGGAACUUCCGCACCUGCUUCCGCCCAAUCGGGGAACUCCCUCAGGUCUUUCUCCUCCCUCCAGAUGGUUGUAUCCAUUGCUGAUCUCAUCUCCAUGGGCUCAAUCAACUCUGGAACUCACUUCCCUCUGAUGGACUCACUCUAUUAGUUUUCUAAAAUUUUCAAAACCUUCAUCUUGAGAUUUCCAUGCCAAUCCUAAUGAAUGCAUGAUUUUAUUUACUUUUGUAAUUUUACUGUAUUGUCUUGUUUGUGUAGUUGUUUUGUAUGUCUUGUUUUUACUUGUAAGGCAGCCUUGGGUGCCCAGAAAGAUGCCAUUUAAAUAAAAUGUGUUAUUUCAGGGAUUGGGCUGAGUAAGAUACAAAAAAUUGGAAUCAAACAAGUGGACCAAGAGACUUUUCUGGUGUGAAUACUUCCCUAAAAUUCAGUAAUUUCAGGAAAACACCAAACCUAACUUCAUACAGUAAUCUUUUGAUAGGAAUUGUUAGCAUGGAUUGCAGAUAGUUUCUCUUUUUUAAAUUGAUCAAAAAGGGUUGAAAAGCUUUAGGCUGUUGGUUGUGAAGAGGGAUUGUGGUUUUGAUGCAAUAUCACCAGAAAAAGACACAAAAAAAAUAAAUAAAUAAAAAAA
Molecule: long non-coding RNA, 705 nt
Organism: Oryzias melastigma (Indian medaka)
Lineage: Eukaryota; Metazoa; Chordata; Actinopteri; Beloniformes; Adrianichthyidae
Exons: 2
Source: RefSeq, a predicted model, not a curated record